GACGAACGCUGGCGGCGUGCCUAAUACAUGCAAGUAGAACGCUGAAGGAGGAGCUUGCUCUUCUGGAUGAGUUGCGAACGGGUGAGUAACGCGUAGGUAGCCUGCCUGGUAGCGGGGGAUAACUAUUGGAAACGAUAGCUAAUACCGCAUAAUAGUAGAUGUUGCAUGAUAUUUACUUAAAAGGUGCAAUUGCACCACUACCAGAUGGACCUGCGUUGUAUUAGCUAGUUGGUGGGGUAACGGCUCACCAAGGCGACGAUACAUAGCCGACCUGAGAGGGGGAUCGGCCCCACUGGGAGUGAGACACGGCCCAGACUCCUACGGGAGGCAGCAGUAGGGAAUCUUCGGCAAUGGACGAAAGUCUGAGCGAGCAACGCCGCGGGAGUGAAGAAGGUUGUCGGAUCGUAAAGGUCUGUUGUAAGAGAAGAAAGAGUGUGAGAGUGGAAAGUUCACACUGUGACGGUAUCUUACCAGAAAGGGACGGCUAACUACGUG
RNAcentral lists this ribosomal RNA (495 nucleotides) under uncultured bacterium. RNAcentral describes it as "partial 16S ribosomal RNA". It matches the Rfam family "Bacterial small subunit ribosomal RNA", at positions 28 to 507 of the family's 1533-position model. The record is from RNAcentral.